Molecule: ribosomal RNA, 253 nt
Filed under: uncultured bacterium
Lineage: Bacteria
Description: partial 16S ribosomal RNA
Rfam family: Bacterial small subunit ribosomal RNA
Source: RNAcentral
UACAGAGGGUGCGAGCGUUAAUCGGAAUUACUGGGCGUAAAGCGUGCGUAGACGGUUAUUUAAGUCGGGUGUGAAAGCCCCGGGCUCAACCUGGGAAUUGCAUUCGAGACUGAAUAGCUAGGGUACGGUAGAGGGAAGCGGAAUUUCCGGUGUAGCGGUGAAAUGCGUAGAUAUUGGGAAGAACACCGGUGGCGAAGGCGGCGCUCUGGACCGAGACUGACGCUGAGGCGCGAAAGCGUGGGGAGCAAACAGG